GUGAGGAAUAUUGGACAAUGGACGCAAGUCUGAUCCAGCCAUGCCGCGUGAAGGAUUAAGGUCCUCUGGAUUGUAAACUUCUUUUAUAAGGGACGAAAAAAGGCUUUUCUAAGUCGUCUGACGGUACCUUAUGAAUAAGCACCGGCUAACUCCGUGCCAGCAGCCGCGGUAAUACGGAGGGUGCAAGCGUUAUCCUGAUUCACUGGGUUUAAAGGGUGCGUAGGCUGGCAGGUAAGUCAGUGGUGAAAUCCUAGAGCUUAACUCUAGAACUGCCAUUGAUACUAUCUGGCUUGAAUAUUGUGGCGGUAAGCGGAAUAUGUCAUGUAGCGGUGAAAUGCUUAGAUAUGACAUAGAACACCUAUUGCGAAGGCAGCUUACUACGCAUAUAUUGACGCUGAGGCACGAAAGCGUGGGGAUCAAACAGGAUUAGAUACCCCGGUAGUCC
RNAcentral lists this ribosomal RNA (445 nucleotides) under uncultured bacterium. RNAcentral describes it as "partial 16S ribosomal RNA". It matches the Rfam family "Bacterial small subunit ribosomal RNA", at positions 354 to 796 of the family's 1533-position model. The record is from RNAcentral.